RNAcentral lists this transfer RNA (73 nucleotides) under Candidatus Curtissbacteria bacterium RIFCSPHIGHO2_02_FULL_40_16b. Its description in RNAcentral is "tRNA-Arg". It matches the Rfam family "tRNA". Rfam says of the family: Transfer RNA (tRNA) molecules are approximately 80 nucleotides in length. Their secondary structure includes four short double-helical elements and three loops (D, anti-codon, and T loops). The record is from RNAcentral. Lineage: Bacteria; Candidatus Curtissiibacteriota. RNAcentral also lists the same sequence under 3 other names.
GCGCCUAUAGCUCAGUGGAUAGAGCGAUCGCUUGCGGAGCGAUAGGUCGGGUGUUCGAAUCACCCUAGGCGCA